GUACCUGUAGCAUAAUGGAUAGCGCAUUGGACUUCUAAUCCAAAGGUCGUAGGUUCGAAUCCUACCUGGAAUA
This is a non-coding RNA of Trichonephila clavipes, 73 nucleotides long. The record is from the annotation of a GenBank genome assembly. NCBI's taxonomy places the organism in Eukaryota, Metazoa, Arthropoda, Arachnida, Araneae, Nephilidae.